This 91-nucleotide transfer RNA is filed under the name Hydrogenoanaerobacterium saccharovorans. RNAcentral's name for it is "tRNA_Opal_TCA". It matches the Rfam family "Selenocysteine transfer RNA". Lineage: Bacteria; Bacillati; Bacillota; Clostridia; Eubacteriales; Oscillospiraceae. The record is from RNAcentral.
GGGGCAGAUGGGUGCUGGUGUGCCCUGCGGUCUUCAAAACCGUUGCAGGUAGUGAUUGCUGCCUGGGUGGGUUCGAUUCCCACAUGCUCCC